This is a small nuclear RNA of Alexandromys fortis (reed vole), 102 nucleotides long. NCBI's taxonomy places the organism in Eukaryota, Metazoa, Chordata, Mammalia, Rodentia, Cricetidae. The record is from RefSeq and is a predicted model, not a curated record.
GCCGCCACCACCACCCGGCAGCACAUUGGAACAAUACAGAGAAGGUUAACACGGCUCCUGUGUAAGGAUGACAUACAGAUCUAUGAAGCUUUCCAUAGUUUU